This 333-nucleotide ribosomal RNA is filed under the name Cercomonas sp. RNAcentral describes it as "SSU rRNA". The stretch from base 78 to 333 matches the Rfam family "Eukaryotic small subunit ribosomal RNA", at positions 698 to 955 of the family's 1831-position model. The record is from RNAcentral. Lineage: Eukaryota; Cercozoa; Cercomonadida; Cercomonadidae.
GAUUUCUGGUAUGGCGCACUUGGCCCGCCUCGUUACGGGGUUGUGUGCCUCGGUGCGCCUGCCAUCCUUCUGGGGAACUAUCAUUAUGCGCUUCCUUCACUGUGAAGACUUUUGGUAGGGAACCUGAUCAUUUACUUUGAAAAAAUUAGAGUGUUUAAAGCAGGCUUUUGCUAUGAAUACAUUAGCAUGGAAUAAUAAUUUAGGACUUCGGUUCUAUUUUGUUGGUUUCUAGGACUGAAGUAAUGAUUGAUAGGGAUAGUUGGGGGUGCUAGUAUUCAGCGGCCAGAGGUGAAAUUCUCGGAUUCGCUGAAGACUAACUUAUGCGAAAGCAUU